Molecule: ribosomal RNA, 437 nt
Filed under: uncultured bacterium
Lineage: Bacteria
Description: partial 16S ribosomal RNA
Rfam family: Bacterial small subunit ribosomal RNA
Source: RNAcentral
AGCGAACGCUGGCGGCAGGCUUAACACAUGCAAGUCGAGCGGGCAUCCUUGUGGUGUCAGCGGCAGACGGGUGAGUAACGCGUGGGAACGUGCCCUUCGGUUCGGAAUAACUCAGGGAAACUUGAGCUAAUACCGGAUACGUGCGAGAGCAGAAAGGUUUAUCUGCCGAAGGAUCGGCCCGCGUCUGAUUAGCUAGUUGGUGAGGUUAUGGCUCACCAAGGCGACGAUCAGUAGCUGGUCUGAGAGGAUGAUCAGCCACACUGGGACUGAGACACGGCCCAGACUCCUACGGGAGGCAGCAGUGGGGAAUAUUGGACAAUGGGGGCAACCCUGAUCCCGCCAUGCCGCGUGAGUGAUGACGGCCUUAGGGUUGUAAAGCUCUUUUCUCCGGGACGAUAAUGACGGUACCGGAGGAAUAAGCCCCGGCUAACUUCGUG